This 254-nucleotide ribosomal RNA is filed under the name uncultured bacterium. Its description in RNAcentral is "partial 16S ribosomal RNA". It matches the Rfam family "Bacterial small subunit ribosomal RNA", at positions 524 to 776 of the family's 1533-position model. The record is from RNAcentral.
UACGUAGGCAGCAAGCGUUGUUCGGAGUUACUGGGCGUAAAGGGUGUGUAGGCGGCUUUUUAAGUUUGGUGUGAAAUCUCCCGGCUCAACCGGGAGGGUGCGCCGAAUACUGAGAGGCUAGAGUGCGGGAGAGGAAAGUGGAAUUCCUGGUGUAGCGGUGAAAAUGCGUAGAUAUCAGGAGGAACACCGGUGGUGUAGGCGGCUUUCUGGACCGUAACUGACGCUGAAACACGAAAGCGUGGGUAGCAAACAGG